CAUGCAAGUCGAGCGGAAACGAGUUAUCUGAACCUUCGGGGGACGAUAACGGCGUCGAGCGGCGGACGGGUGAGUAAUGCCUAGGAAAUUGCCCUGAUGUGGGGGAUAACCAUUGGAAACGAUGGCUAAUACCGCAUGAUGCCUACGGGCCAAAGAGGGGGACCUUCGGGCCUCUCGCGUCAGGAUAUGCCUAGGUGGGAUUAGCUAGUUGGUGAGGUAAGGGCUCACCAAGGCGACGAUCCCUAGCUGGUCUGAGAGGAUGAUCAGCCACACUGGAACUGAGACACGGUCCAGACUCCUACGGGAGGCAGCAGUGGGGAAUAUUGCACAAUGGGCGCAAGCCUGAUGCAGCCAUGCCGCGUGUGUGAAGAAGGCCUUCGGGUUGUAAAGCACUUUCAGUCGUGAGGAAGGUGGUGUAGUUAAUAGCUGCAUUAUUUGACGUUAGCGACAGAAGAAGCACCGGCUAACUCCGUGCCAGCAGCCGCGGUAAUACGGAGGGUGCGAGCGUUAAUCGGAAUUACUGGGCGUAAAGCGCAUGCAGGUGGUUUGUUAAGUCAGAUGUGAAAGCCCGGGGCUCAACCUCGGAAUAGCAUUUGAAACUGGCAGACUAGAGUACUGUAGAGGGGGGUAGAAUUUCAGGUGUAGCGGUGAAAUGCGUAGAGAUCUGAAGGAAUACCGGUGGCGAAGGCGGCCCCCUGGACAGAUACUGACACUCAGAUGCGAAAGCGUGGGGAGCAAACAGGAUUAGAUACCCUGGUAGUCCACGCCGUAAACGAUGUCUACUUGGAGGUUGUGGCCUUGAGCCGUGGCUUUCGGAGCUAACGCGUUAAGUAGACCGCCUGGGGAGUACGGUCGCAAGAUUAAAACUCAAAUGAAUUGACGGGGGCCCGCACAAGCGGUGGAGCAUGUGGUUUAAUUCGAUGCAACGCGAAGAACCUUACCUACUCUUGACAUCCAGAGAACUUUCCAG
Molecule: ribosomal RNA, 970 nt
Filed under: Vibrio sp.
Lineage: Bacteria; Pseudomonadati; Pseudomonadota; Gammaproteobacteria; Vibrionales; Vibrionaceae
Description: bacterial SSU rRNA
Rfam family: Bacterial small subunit ribosomal RNA
Source: RNAcentral